Molecule: long non-coding RNA, 1292 nt
Filed under: Pelobates cultripes (western spadefoot toad)
Lineage: Eukaryota; Metazoa; Chordata; Amphibia; Anura; Pelobatidae
Source: RNAcentral
CCAGCACCCGCGCUCCAGCAAACCAGAGCGGGACCCACCAACAUGCACAACCUGCUCCGCACACAAUGGCCCCGACAACCUCCGACCAGCAGAGCGCAACCCAACACAGGAGAACUCAGGAUGCCUGCCGUGAGGAUGACCAACAUACAGCAAAGCGGGCUACCAGAAAGCGUAACAGGCAGAGAACCCCGACAAGGAUCACCGCAGACGGAGCUUUGAUGGGGCACCAGUCCUACCCUCACCAUCGGUGCACCUGGCAAGCCUCCAUAUACCCUCACUACCGGGGUUUCCGUUUCCCAGAUGUGGGAGUCGGCUGACUGUGAUCGGGACACUGACCAAUACAGCUCCCGGCUAACCUGCAAAUUACAAGACUGGGAGAUGACCGCUCAAGACAGGGGCCGAGGCGCAGACACUCUGGUGGUCUUGAAACUUUUUAUGUUGCCUAGGUACCCUUUUACAAGCAGAGAAUGCCAUAGCUACCCGUUUAUUUAAAAAUUGUGGAUUACAUAUUAUAUGUCCCAUGGUUGAUGCCUAAGUUUCCCCCCCUUUCUUUUGUUCUCGCAUAAGCUGUCUUACUAAUUGUUAAUCUAUAUGAUUGCAUUCACCAUUAUUUUUACAUAAAUUAUUAGUUAUGUGAUGCCUCAUAGCGGCCUACAUAGGUUUCUAAUGCUGCCAGGGAGGCGCAGGCCUGAUGGGAUAACAACUGACCCCCUUUUUAUUUUAUAACUUAGCCCGGAACACUCCUGACCAGCAUAAUAGCUACCUGACGAUACAAUAACAGCCACGGCACACACCACGCAGAUUAAGCUUCCCGAUUACCAUCAACAUAUGAAUGCAAGUUAGUGGGCCCUACCCUAAUGCCUAGUUAGCUAUUAUGCAGCAUAAUACUCUUUUGGCUAGAUAGCACAACGAAUCUACUCACUGUUACGAGCAAAACUCUGCCAUGAGACCCUUUAUUGUUUUUUACUCGAAUCACUCUUAUAGAAGAUUGCUUAGAACUAGCAUGUUGACGCAGAGUGCAUCCCAGCAUAGCAUUUAGCUUAACUUUAUUCAUACACUUAGUAGAUAUGCACUCAGAUGACUGAAUACAAUAGCGAUACACAGUAUAAUGUUAACUAAGCUUGUUUCCUACCAUGUUAUUACUCAACUACCUUUAAACAUAAAAUUUGUGCCAGAUAUUGCAUGUACCCCUCUGUUAAACUGUCUACAAAGCGUUGGAGGAAUGCCGUUGGGGUACCUCACAACCGACUGUUAAAAGCCUAUGCACAACAAAAAUAAAGAAUUAAAAAAAA